RNAcentral lists this ribosomal RNA (683 nucleotides) under Picipes virgatus. RNAcentral describes it as "eukaryotic LSU rRNA". It matches the Rfam family "Eukaryotic large subunit ribosomal RNA", at positions 72 to 731 of the family's 3401-position model. The record is from RNAcentral. Lineage: Eukaryota; Fungi; Basidiomycota; Agaricomycetes; Polyporales; Polyporaceae.
GGAUUCCCCUAGUAACUGCGAGUGAAGCGGGAAGAGCUCAAAUUUAAAAUCUGGCGGCAGUCUUUGGCCGUCCGAGUUGUAGUCUGGAGAAGUGCUUUCUGUGCUGGACCGUGUACAAGUCUCUUGGAACAGAGCGUCAUAGAGGGUGAGAAUCCCGUCUUUGACACGGACUACCAGUGCUUUGUGAUGCGCUCUCGAAGAGUCGAGUUGUUUGGGAAUGCAGCUCAAAAUGGGUGGUAAAUUCCAUCUAAAGCUAAAUAUUGGCGAGAGACCGAUAGCGAACAAGUACCGUGAGGGAAAGAUGAAAAGCACUUUGGAAAGAGAGUUAAACAGUACGUGAAAUUGCUGAAAGGGAAACGCUUGAAGUCAGUCGCGUUGUUCGGAACUCAGCCUUGCUUUUUGCUUGGUGCACUUUCUGAAUGACGGGCCAGCAUCGAUUCUUACCGUCGGAAAAGGGUUGAGGGAAUGUGGCACCHUAGGGUGUGUUUAUAGCCUUCANUCGCACACGGCGGUUGGGAUCGAGGAACCCAGCGCGCCGCAAAGGCAGGGGUGUUUGCCCACUUUUCGCGCUUAGGAUGCUGGCGUAAUGGCUUUAAACGACCCGUCUUGAAACACGGACCAAGGAGUCUAACAUGCCUGCGAGUGUUUGGGUGGAAAACCCGAGCGCGUAAUGAAAGUGAAAG